UGCGUAGACGGUUAUGUAAGUCGGAUGUGAAAGCCCCGGGCUCAACCUGGGAAUUGCAUUCGAGACUGCAUAGCUAGGAUGCGGAAGAGGGAAGCGGAAUUUCCGGUGUAGCGGUGAAAUGCGUAGAUAUCGGAAGGAACACCAGUGGCGAAAGCGGCUUCCUGGUCCAGCAUCGACGUUCAGGCACGAAAGCGUGGGGAGCAAACAGGAUUAGAUACCCUGGUAGUCCACGCCAUAAACGAUGACAACUAGACGUUGAGAGGGUAAGCCUCCCAGUGUCGCAGCUAACGCGUUAAGUUGUCCGCCUGGGGAGUACGGCCGCAAGGUUGAA
RNAcentral lists this ribosomal RNA (331 nucleotides) under uncultured Pseudomonadota bacterium. RNAcentral describes it as "bacterial SSU rRNA". It matches the Rfam family "Bacterial small subunit ribosomal RNA", at positions 568 to 898 of the family's 1533-position model. Lineage: Bacteria; Pseudomonadati; Pseudomonadota. The record is from RNAcentral.